This 397-nucleotide ribosomal RNA is filed under the name uncultured bacterium. Its description in RNAcentral is "partial 16S ribosomal RNA". It matches the Rfam family "Bacterial small subunit ribosomal RNA", at positions 523 to 918 of the family's 1533-position model. The record is from RNAcentral.
AUACGUAGGUGACAAGCGUUAUCCGGAUUUACUGGGUGUAAAGGGCGUGUAGGCGGUUUAGCAAGUCAGAAGUGAAAUUCCCGGGCUUAACUUGGGCGCUGCUUCUGAAACUGCUUUACUUGAGUGCUGGAGAGGAUAGUGGAAUUCCUAGUGUAGAGGUAAAAUGCGCAGAUAUUAGGAGGAACACCGGUGGCGAAGGCGGCUAUCUGGACAGUAACUGACGCUGAGGCGCGAAAGCACGGGGAGCAAACAGGAUUAGAUACCCUGGUAGUCCGUGCCGUAAACGAUGAAUACUAGGUGUAGGGGGUAUCGACUCCCUCUGUGCCGCAGUUAACACAUUAAGUAUUCCACCUGGGGAGUACGGCCGCAAGGUUGAAACUCAAAUGAAUUGACGGGG